Molecule: ribosomal RNA, 253 nt
Filed under: uncultured bacterium
Lineage: Bacteria
Description: partial 16S ribosomal RNA
Rfam family: Bacterial small subunit ribosomal RNA
Source: RNAcentral
UACGAAGGGGGCUAGCGUUGCUCGGAAUCACUGGGCGUAAAGCGCGCGUAGGCGGAUCGCUAAGUCAGGGGUGAAAUCCCAAGGCUCAACCUUGGAAUUGCCUUUGAUACUGGCAAUCUGGAGUUCGGGAGAGGUGAGUGGAAUUCCGAGUGUAGAGGUGAAAUUCGUAGAUAUUCGGAGGAACACCAGAAGCGAAGGCGGCUCACUGGCCCGAUACUGACGCUGAGGCGCGAAAGCGUGGGGAGCAAACAGG